AGCUUUGCGCAGUGGCGGUAUCGUAGCCAAUGAGGUUUAUCCGAGGCACAAUUAUUGCUAAUUGAAAGUAGAAUAAGGCUCACAGGCCAAUGGG
RNAcentral lists this small nuclear RNA (94 nucleotides) under Tupaia belangeri (northern tree shrew). Its description in RNAcentral is "U4 spliceosomal RNA (ENSTBEG00000020736.1)". The stretch from base 1 to 70 matches the Rfam family "U4 spliceosomal RNA". From Rfam's summary of the family: U4 small nuclear RNA (U4 snRNA) is a component of the major U2-dependent spliceosome. The structure of U4 snRNA from yeast and human has been reported. Lineage: Eukaryota; Metazoa; Chordata; Mammalia; Scandentia; Tupaiidae. The record is from RNAcentral.